RNAcentral lists this ribosomal RNA (753 nucleotides) under uncultured bacterium. Its description in RNAcentral is "bacterial SSU rRNA". It matches the Rfam family "Bacterial small subunit ribosomal RNA", at positions 112 to 898 of the family's 1533-position model. The record is from RNAcentral.
AACGCGUAGGUAUCUAUCCGUAGGUGGGGGAUAACGCUGGGAAACUGGUGCUAAUACCGCAUGAAACCUGAGGGUCAAAGGCGCGAGUCGCCGAUGGAGGAGCCUGCGUCCGAUUAGCUAGUUGGUGGGGUAAGAGCCUACCAAGGCGACGAUCGGUAGCUGGUCUGAGAGGAUGAUCAGCCACAUUGGGACUGAGACACGGCCCAAACUCCUACGGGAGGCAGCAGUGGGGAAUAUUGGACAAUGGGCGGAAGCCUGAUCCAGCAAUGCCGCGUGUGUGAAGAAGGUUUUCGGAUUGUAAAGCACUUUCGGCGGGGACGAUGAUGACGGUACCCGCAGAAGAAGCCCCGGCUAACUUCGUGCCAGCAGCCGCGGUAAUACGAAGGGGGCUAGCGUUGCUCGGAAUGACUGGGCGUAAAGGGCGCGUAGGCGGCUUGUACAGUCGGGCGUGAAAUUCCUGGGCUUAACCUGGGGGCUGCGCUUGAUACAUACGGGCUUGAGUGUGGAAGAGGGUCGUGGAAUUCCCAGUGUAGAGGUGAAAUUCGUAGAUAUUGGGAAGAGCACCGGUGGCGAAGGCGGCGACCUGGUUCAUUACUGACGCUGAGGCGCGAAAGCGUGGGGAGCAAACAGGAUUAGAUACCCUGGUAGUCCACGCUGUAAACGAUGUGUGCUGGAUGUUGGGUGGCCUAGCCAUUCAGUGUCGUAGCUAACGCGGUAAGCACACCGCCUGGGGAGUACGGCCGCAAGGUUGAA